AGUCGAACGGCAGCACGGGAGCAAUCCUGGUGGCGAGUGGCGAACGGGUGAGUAAUAUAUCGGAACGUGCCCAGUCGUGGGGGAUAACGCAGCGAAAGCUGUGCUAAUACCGCAUACGAUCUACGGAUGAAAGCGGGGGAUCGCAAGACCUCGCGCGAUUGGAGCGGCCGAUAUCAGAUUAGGUUGUUGGUGGGGUAAAAGCCCACCAAGCCGACGAUCUGUAGCUGGUCUGAGAGGACGACCAGCCACACUGGAACUGAGACACGGUCCAGACUCCUACGGGAGGCAGCAGUGGGGAAUUUUGGACAAUGGGCGCAAGCCUGAUCCAGCAAUGCCGCGUGCAGGAUGAAGGCCUUCGGGUUGUAAACUGCUUUUGUACGGAACGAAACGGUUCACUCCAAUACAGUGAGCUAAUGACGGUACCGUAAGAAUAAGCACCGGCUAACUACGUGCCAGCAGCCGCGGUAAUACGUAGGGUGCGAGCGUUAAUCGGAAUUACUGGGCGUAAAGCGUGCGCACGCGGUUAUAUAAGACAGAUGUGAAAUCCCCGGGCUCAACCUGGGACCUGCAUUUGUGACUGUAUAGCUAGAGUGCGGCACAGGGGGAUGGAAUUCCGCGUGUAGCAGUGAAAUGCGUAGAUAUGCGGAGGAACACCGAUGGCGAAGGCAAUCCCCUGGGCCUGCACUGACGCUCAUGCACGAAAGCGUGGGGAGCAAACAGGAUUAGAUACCCUGGUAGUCCACGCCCUAAACGAUGUCAACUGGUUGUUGGGUCUUCACUGACUC
RNAcentral lists this ribosomal RNA (785 nucleotides) under uncultured bacterium. Its description in RNAcentral is "bacterial SSU rRNA". It matches the Rfam family "Bacterial small subunit ribosomal RNA", at positions 60 to 841 of the family's 1533-position model. The record is from RNAcentral.